UGUCCGGCGGCUCGGCAACAGAGCUGCCGCGGGGGGAACGCGGACCUCUCUUUCCCGAGCCGAGGGUGGGCUGAGGCCGCCACCAGGCAAGUUCGCCCCAGGAGCGGGCGCCGCGGGCCGAGAUGCUCCUCCGGGACUUGGUGCUGCGCCGUGGCUGCUGCUGGUCCUCGCUGCUGCUGCACUGCGCGCUACACCCGCUCUGGGGCUUCGUGCAGGUGACACAUGGUGAGCCCCAGAAGUCCUGCUCCAAGGUGACCGACAGCUGCCGACACGUCUGCCAGUGCCGGCCCCCUCCCCCGCUGCCCCCGCCGCCCCCGCCCCCACCG
This is an RNA transcript of Cebus imitator (Panamanian white-faced capuchin), 326 nucleotides long. RefSeq lists it as uncharacterized. The record is from RefSeq and is a predicted model, not a curated record. Lineage: Eukaryota; Metazoa; Chordata; Mammalia; Primates; Cebidae. The transcript is spliced from 3 exons.